Molecule: ribosomal RNA, 413 nt
Filed under: uncultured prokaryote
Description: bacterial SSU rRNA
Rfam family: Bacterial small subunit ribosomal RNA
Source: RNAcentral
GUGUCAGCAGCCGCGGUAAUACGUAGGGGGCGAACGUUGCUCGGAAUUACUGGGCGUAAAGGGUGUGUAGGCGGUCCGGCAAGUCGUCUGUGAAAGCCCCUGGCUUAACUGGGGGAGGCCGGGCGAUACUGCCGGGCUAGAAGGCGACAGAGGAAGGUGGAACGGCCAGAGUAGCGGUGAAAUGCGUAGAUACUGGCCGGUACCCCGAUGGCGAAGGCAACCUUCUGGGUCGUCCCUGACGCUGAAGCGCGAAAGCGUGGGGAGCAAACCGGAUUAGAUACCCGGGUAGUCCACGCCCUAAACGAUGUGGGCUAGGUGUCGGCCCGUCACUGGGUCGGUGCCGCAGCUAACGCGUUAAGCCCACCGCCUGGGGAGUACGGCCGCAAGGCUGAAACUCAAAGGAAUUGACGGGG